This 77-nucleotide transfer RNA is filed under the name candidate division KD3-62 bacterium DG_56. Its description in RNAcentral is "tRNA-Pro". It matches the Rfam family "tRNA". Rfam says of the family: Transfer RNA (tRNA) molecules are approximately 80 nucleotides in length. Their secondary structure includes four short double-helical elements and three loops (D, anti-codon, and T loops). Further hydrogen bonds mediate the characteristic L-shaped molecular structure. tRNAs have two regions of fundamental functional importance: the anti-codon, which is responsible for specific mRNA codon recognition, and the 3' end, to which the tRNAs corresponding amino acid is attached (by aminoacyl-tRNA synthetases). tRNAs cope with the degeneracy of the genetic code in two manners: having more than one tRNA (with a specific anti-codon) for a particular amino acid; and 'wobble' base-pairing, i.e. permitting non-standard base-pairing at the 3rd anti-codon position. The record is from RNAcentral. Lineage: Bacteria; candidate division KD3-62.
CGGGGCGUGGCGCAGCUUGGUAGCGCGCCUGCUUUGGGAGCAGGAAGUCGGGAGUUCAAAUCUCCCCGCCCCGACCA